Molecule: ribosomal RNA, 403 nt
Filed under: uncultured bacterium
Lineage: Bacteria
Description: bacterial SSU rRNA
Rfam family: Bacterial small subunit ribosomal RNA
Source: RNAcentral
CAAGGAAUUUUCCGCAAUGGGCGCAAGCCUGACGGAGCAACGCCGCGUGCGGGAUGACGGCCUUCGGGUUGUAAACCGCUUUUGGGGGGGAUGACAUCGACCGUACCCUCCGAAUCAGGCUCGGCUAACUCUGUGCCAGCAGCCGCGGUAAGACAGAGGAGCCAAGCGUUGUCCGGACUGACUGGGCGUAAAGCGCACGCAGGCGGUACGGUAAGUGGGGUGUGAAAGCGGCCGGCUCAACCGGCUGAGGCCAUGCCAGACUGCCGCACUCGAGCGCUGCAGAGGGUGGUGGAAUUGCCGGUGUAGUGGUGAAAUGCGUAGAGAUCGGCAGGAACACCAAGGGGGAAGCCAGCCACCUGGGCAGCCGCUGACGCUGAGGUGCGAAAGCGUGGGGAGCGAACUG